Molecule: small nuclear RNA, 114 nt
Organism: Lagopus leucura (white-tailed ptarmigan)
Lineage: Eukaryota; Metazoa; Chordata; Aves; Galliformes; Phasianidae
Product: U5 spliceosomal RNA
Exons: 1
Source: RefSeq, a predicted model, not a curated record
CUAUUCUGAUUUCUGUUCAGAUUGUAUAAAUCUUUCGCCUUUUACUAAAGAUUUCUGUGGAGAGGAACAAGCACGAGUGUUGUGAAAUUUUUUGAGGCUCCGCUUCGGCAGAAA